UAUGUUUCCUCUUACCUCACGUUCUGAGCAACUCUUCCUUCAAAGGUCAGAGCUUCAUCCAAGAGUUGGGUCUUUAGAGGGAUGAUUGGUUGAUAAAGGUUAGAAUUUGUAGAAUGUGGGAUUCUUUUAAUCCCAAGAAAAAUGGAGAGUUAAUUGGCUUGGAUAUGAUAUUUAUUGACGAAAAGAUGUGGUGGGUUGUUUGUGCGGAGUUGGAGAUAUGGAGACUGCUGGAUCGAGGUGGGAAAAAAGGAACAUUUAAAUUGUUACUGAUUAGUGAGUUGCUUUUCAUUUUAUGUUCCUUUAAUUUGUAAAUCCACCAAAACUUUCAUUUCCUAUUAUGUUUCAAUGCCUUUUCCUCAAUCCAUCUUUCUGUUGUAGUUCUGUCAAUGCAAAAAUUACUUUAUGGGAAGAAUUUGGUGAGAAAUUCGAUCCUUAUUUGUACAAAAAGGAUUCUGGCCCGUA
Non-coding RNA from Nicotiana tabacum (common tobacco), 462 nucleotides. NCBI's taxonomy places the organism in Eukaryota, Viridiplantae, Streptophyta, Magnoliopsida, Solanales, Solanaceae. The record is from RefSeq and is a predicted model, not a curated record.